UACGUUUCUCUUUCUGUCGGCGGUUGCAGAACCAGACGCGGAUCACCUCCUUCUCCAUGUUGAGCUGCUCAGCGAUGAGUAGAAUCUCCUCUGAGCUGCGUUCCAAAGCCACGCGCACGUUGGUCUCGAUGCUGGUGCGUUUCUUGCGGCGGCGGACUGGCAGGCCCUCAAAGCCCAGGGAUGGUGAGGACAAAGAGCUGGGACUUGGCAAGGUGCGGGCAAACUGUUCGAGCUCUUCCAGGUCACUUGGCUCCUCGGCAUGAGAGGUCACAGGGUUCACCGUACUGACACUGCUUUCCAUGACCUUUUCUCUAUGCUAGAGAUACACACACACACAAACACUCAGUGAACCCCAAUCUCAACAUAAGUGUCAGUUUCAUGCUCAGUGUCUGUAAACAGGCCUAAAAAUCCUGCUUUACCUGUGCUUGAAGACCGAGUGCAGGAGGAGCAGUGAGGAGACCCCCCUGGUUUUGCUGAGGUAGUGGAAUCAAAUUUGGUGUCGGUAGCAGCCCUGAGAGAGAGAGAGAGAGAGACAGACAGAGAGAGAGAGAGAGAAACACUGUUUUGAAAUGUCUGUUUCUAAUAUGCUCAAGAAAAUUGGUAUAUGUCGGUAAGACUUAUAUAUCUCCAGUGCAGAGAGUGAGGAUCCCACCUUGCUGCCCUUGCUGUGCCUGUGGCAAAAGGAACUGUGCAGGCGAGGGCAAAGGAUGCCCUGGGACGAGGACCAACUGCUGCAGCUGCAACAGUUGCUGGAUGUCCUGAAGAAGAUAUGGACAAUGGAUGAGUUCAACUCAAUGAGGAAUCUGAAGAGAGUCUAGUCUCUGACUGAUAAUGCUGUUAUCAAGAUUAUAGGUGUGUGCAACUGAGGUGAUUUAUUUCUAUUAGUGGCAUGUUAGAUGCAGGGAAAGGAGACAGAUCAGGAAGCGUGGGUUUGUGAUGACUGGGCCUGAGAAGAACAGGGUGACUUUGUGUACCUGGGC
Molecule: long non-coding RNA, 980 nt
Organism: Hemibagrus wyckioides
Lineage: Eukaryota; Metazoa; Chordata; Actinopteri; Siluriformes; Bagridae
Exons: 3
Source: RefSeq, a predicted model, not a curated record